This 6873-nucleotide long non-coding RNA is filed under the name Capsicum annuum. Its description in RNAcentral is "long non-coding RNA (CANN_LNC014422)". The record is from RNAcentral. Lineage: Eukaryota; Viridiplantae; Streptophyta; Magnoliopsida; Solanales; Solanaceae.
UUCUUUCUUCCAUUUUCAAGAAAAUAAUUUAUCAGUGAUGUCGAUAUUAAUGGUGUUAAAUCAAAUGAUUCAUCAGUGAAAUUUCUGAGAGAAAUUUCUUGACUUUUCUUUCUUUCUUUUUUAAGAAAAUGAUUUAUCAUUGAUACCACCAACAUCACCGCACCAAUACUAUCAAUGGCAGGAAUCGAUUCAGCACCCGAUGUCACCAUUGAUGGUGUUAAAUCAAAGAAAAAAAUGGGAUUUAGCUCCUUUAAAAGGGAAGUUUGGUCCUUCAAAACACAAGCUGUUGAAAAUUUAAAAAAAAGCCACACUUCAAAAGGUACUAUACAUAUCUAUCGGAUUAAAAAUUCGUCAGGUACAUAAUUUUUACUAUUGAGAUACAUAAAUGGCUUCAUUUUAUGCAUGAGACAUAAUUUUAAUUAUGUAUCUUUCUUCAGUCUUAUUACAAUAUUAUGUAUGUAGACUAAAGAGAUUAAAAAAUAAAUGUAUCUUAGUACUAAAUUUUGAUAUUGUGAUACACAAUUAACAUUAAUUUCAUGCCUGAGAAAUAAUUUUAAUUAUGUAUCUCUCUUUAAUAUGAGACAGAAUUAUGUAUCUCCACCUAAUAACUUCAAAAAGUGAUUGUAUCUGAGUUAAUAUGACUACGACACAGACUAAUUACUAACUGCUUUAUUUUUUAUGUACAUCAAUGUUGGGUAUGCAUUAUAUAGUUAAAGAAGAUUCACCGCAUCAGUUAAGGUAUGACAGAUUUUGCAAUGCUAAAAUUCUAAAAGAUUUUAAAGAAAUUCUGAAAGAUAAGGGGGUGGAGUUGGUCGGUCAGACGGGGGUGAUAUUCUUUUGAAUUUUAAAGAAAGGAGAAGAAUGUUUCAACAAGAUGAAUGAGGGUCCUUUUUUUGAAAAAAAAUAUCAACAUUAUAACUAGUUAUGAAUUUCUAGGGAUUUUGACAGUAAUUUUGAAGUUAUAAAGCAUGAUUUUCUCCUUAAUUUUAUUAUUUUUCUUUUUUUAGCGUGUCAUAGUUGUUUUAAUGGAUGUGUCAGAUAAGAUGUAUCUCUUAUUAAUAGAUGUAUCAGAAAAAUAGAAAUUCGAGAUUUUAUGAAAUUUUGCCAUAGUUGUUUAAUUGGAUGUAUCAGAUAAGAUGUAUCUCUUAUUAAUAUAUAGAUGUAUCGAAAAAAUAGAAAUUCGAGAUUUUGUGAAAUUUUAUUAAACGUUGGAAUAGGACGUAAUUUGGGAUAAACAUGUAGAAAUUUAUGUAAAACAUUCACUCAAUUUUAUUUUUCUUCCCUUCAUUUCUCAUUCAUCUUUUGUAAUUAGAACACAACAUUUUAGUGUCUUGAAACUAAUUCUCAAUAAUCCUUUUAUAUCUUUUUGCUAAUAUUUUAGGAAAAAAGACAUUGUCUGACCAUGAUAAAACAAAUAGUUCAUAUAUUUGAGUCAAUUGACAAAGAAUGAUUAAUCGGUCAAACUAAUUCCUAAAAUUGGCUAUUUUCAAUCUUUUUCCCAUUUGGAUCACUUUCAUCUACCCUUCCUUUCAAACCAAUUCCUAAAAUUGGUCAUUUUCAAUCUUUUUCCCAUUUAGGUCAUUUUCAUCUAUCCUUCCUUUCAUUUGUACGCUCGAAAAUUAAGAACAAUCUCUUGAGAUUGAUAUGGAUGAAACAUUUCCUCCUUUAACAUGGUGAUGAAGCCCCUUCUCAGAAGCAAGAGAGGGUUUUUAAUUUAAAAUCAUGGAGUAAUUGUAGCUAUAUUUUUCAUAUAUUUGUUAGAUUUUCGUCCAAUAAUUUCAAAUCCCGCUAUAACAUUUUCUUUUUGCUACAAAUUUUUUGACAUAAAAAAAUGUGCUUUUUUUUAAAAGAAAAUAAUUAAAUACAAUUGUAUAGAAAACUUUAUAUUUUUCUAUAAAAUAUGUAUUAAUAUAAGAUAUAUGUAUAGAAAUUAGAUAAGAUUUGUAUAUAAAUUGUAUAGUUAUUGUAUAAAAUAUGUAGUAUAAAAUACAUAUAAAAAUUAUAUAGAAUGCGUAUAGAAAUUAUUUUAUUUUAUAAAAUACGUAUUUGAAUAAUAAAAACCAAUUGUAUAGAAACUUUAUAAUUAUUCAAUAGAUUAUGUAUUAAUAUAAGAUAUAUGUAUAGAAGCUAAAUAAGAUUUGUAUAUAAAUUGUAUAGUUAUUGUAUAAGAUAUGCACUAUAAAAAAUUUGUAUGUGUGCAGAAAUUAUAUGGUUGUUUCAUAAAAUACAUAUUUGAAUAAUAAUUGUAGCUAAAGGUUGUAUAGAAUGUGUGUAGAAACUAUAUAAUUUUUAUAGAAUGUGUAUAAAAUUAUAUAAUUAUUGUAUAGAAUAUGUUUUUGUAUAUGUGUGUGUAGAAAGUGUAUAAAUAUUGUAUAUAUUAUGUAUUUAAAUAUUAUUCCAGCUAAAGGUUGUAUAAAAUGUGUGUAGAAAACAUAUAAUUAUUGUAUAGAAAAUGUAUUUGUAUAAUAUAUGUAUAGAAAUUAUAUCACUAUUGUAUAGAAUAUGUAUCAGAAUAAUUAAUGAAACUAAAAAUUGGAUAGGAUAUGUAUAGAAACUGUACAAUUAUUAUUAUGAAGUGUAUGUAAGUUGUAUCAUUAUUUGUAUAAUAUAAAUAUAUUGCCCUUCAUUAAAUGUUUUACUUCAGACAAAAUCGUCUUUUCACCUUUUUUCUUAAAUUAUAAUAUUAAAUGAUGAUUCUAAUAUUUAGUAUUUUAAAGUUAAUUAGAGUUCUUUCUUACCUAGGUCAGAAAUCACAUCAUUUAACACUUUUAAUUCACUUAAAAUUUACCUUAUAUAAUAAAGGGCAAAAUUCAGAAAUAACAUACUUAUCCCCUUAAUUAUGAGUUUCAUAUUAACAGUUUCAUAAUUACAUAAUAUAGCAAGUUUUAUUUUAUAUUUUUGCAAACUGUUGCUACAAAAAUACAAAUACAUAUGAUUUUUACCGUCCUUAUGAUCGAUAUGUAUUUUAUAUUUUUGUAAGUUACUACAAAAAUACAAAUAUAUACAAAUACAUAUGCUACAAAAUGUAAUUUGAUAAAAGUGUUGCUAUUUUUUGUAAUUUAAAACUUAAGUGUGCAACUUUAUGUAUUUUUUCCUGUAAUAAAAGAUUCUUAUAAUUGUAUUAAAACAAUAUCAACAAAAAAACUAAAAGUGUCAAAAUUUGGGUAGGUGAAAAAGCAUAAAAUUUAACACUUAUUUAUUAAAUAGAAUUAUACCUUAUAUAAAAAAAAAUAUCUAUAAAUUAUUGUGCUUCUACAUUUUCUUUUUAUUUUGAUAUGUUUAUAAAUUAUCGUGUUUCUAUAUUUUCUUUUUAUUUUGAUAUUUUGAUUGAUGAUUAAUUAAAGCUUUCUUCUUACACUCCUUAUUAUCAUUUUCUUUUUCUUCUUCAUUCCUUUUAGUUGAUAAAAAUUAAAUAUUAUAUAUGUGUUAUACAUAAUUAAUACGGGAUUUUUCCUUUUAAUAAUUUCUCACAUUUCUCUUUCAGUUGAAAAAUUAUACGAAACAAGCAUAUUAUCGUCGAAUGAAGUAGCUGAAAAAAUCAAAGGUUUAUCUCUUUUCCUUUUCAAUUACUUUUUACGAGCGUUGUAUUUCUCCUUCCGACUACUGCAAAUUUUACUCCUUUCACAUGUAUUUGAUAGUUUAUACGUAUAUUUGCUAUAUAUUCCAAUAACGCAUAGUGCUAAAUUUUUUAAAGCAACAUCAUAUAGCACUAUUAUGAUAGUAAUUUCACUUGAUUCAGUUAUUAUUUUUUUCCUUGCGACAGUUUUUUUAUGCACUGUUCAUUUGUUGUAUAAUAUAGUUCAUGUUGAAAUAUUUUGUUGAUUAACUUUAGUAUUUCUUUGUUAAAAUUCUUUCCUUAGCAUAUUAUAUUUUCUUAUAAUAGUAAAGAUAUUAAUUUGUUGCCCUCUAACACUUUCUAAAAUCAUAUGAAUUGCUCCAUAUGUUACAUCGAGAAAACUUAAGCAUUUUUUAUCGUUCCAUAGUCCUUGUAGUUUUUCUUAAUUCAGUUUAAAAUGAUUUUUAAUGCUUUUAUAUGAAUAUAUUAAUUUUCUAUUUAAAAUUUUUUGUAUUUAAUAAAAUCAUCAAUUUAUUUUUAAUCAAUGUAUUUUUUACUUUAUAAUAUUAUAAAAUUGAACUCAUUGAAGCGAGACACACGUGCGGAGCGUGUACCCUAAACUAGCAUAUAUAUAUAUAUAUAUAUAUAUAUUUGGUAUCAAAUAUGCAUUGACACAUUCUUUUUUAAAUGUAUGUGAAGAAAAAAAUUCUUUUAUACAAUAAUUAUAUAGUUUUUAUAAUUAUUAAUUACUUUUUAUUUUGAUAAGAUUAAAAAAAUAAAUAAUUUGAUUAUUCUUUCAAAUAAUGGAGGAGAAAAAAGUAAAGGAAUGAUUAGAAAAAAGAAAUUAAAAAAAAUAAAGAAGCACGGACGAAUCAGAAAUUAAAAAGCAAAAAAAAAUAAAUAAAGAACAUGCUUCCACAAAAAGAAAAGAAAUUUAAAAAAAAAAAAAAAAAAAAAAAAAAAAAAAAAAAAAAACAUGACUAAUCAAAAAUUAAUAAAUUUUUUUUUUUUUAAAAAAAAAAACAUGCAUCUGCACGUAUAUCGAUGAUGGAGUCAAAUUUGUUUUGGCCUAUCCGCCAUUAUUGCACUUUCCCCAAUAUUUUGACAGCAAUGUUGUAGACAUUCCUGAUGAAUCUGACUGGUCUAUAAUCUUUCAGUUCAAUUGCACCUUUUUGGGAGAACUCGGGUAAUAAACGAAACAUUGCAUAAUCAUCUUAUUACUGAAUGGCAUUUUUAAAAUGAAAGCGAAUAAAAGUAUCCGUCAACUCAUCUAUAAUAAUUCAUCAUAUUAAUAAAAAAAUAAGAAAAUAAGAGUAAAUACUUAAUUACUCUCUGAUAUUGGCUGAGAUUUUCAAAAAAUAUCUAAACUUUAAAUUUGACAUAUUACCCUACGAUUAUUAUUUAAUUCUUUGCAAAUACAUCAUUUUUCACUGAAUCAGUCACAAUAAAAAAAAUGAACACACGCACCAAUCAAAUACUGCCACAUGUUAAAUAUAUCUAAUUUCAUGUUUUAUUUAUUUUUUAAUAAUUUUUUUUUAAUUUAAUUUAUCACCCCACUCCAUUUAAAUUAAGUUUUAAGCUCCAUUUUUUUUUAUUUAUGACCCCACACCACCCCUUACUUCCAUCCCCACUCCGUCCAUCAUCUCCCUCCCCCAUCUCUGUCCAGUUUCUUUCAUUAAAAUGGAACUUAAAGCUCCACUAAAAUGGAGAUUGUACAUCAGCUUUCCUUUUUGAAAUUAUGGUAAUGAUAAUGUCAUUUUUGUUGCUUUAAUUGAUGUUGGUGCUCCUGUAAUUGAUGUUGUUAUAAUUGAUGAUAUUAUUAUUGUAAUUGAUGUUGUUGUUGAGUUAUGGUGAUGAAGAAGAAGUUUGGAAAGAAGACAAUGGUGGAUGAUGGGUUUAUGAAAUAAUUUUAAAAAAUAAAUAAAUAUUAAUUUUUUCCUUCUAAAAAAUAUAUAAAUUAUAUAUUAAUUAUUUACACGUAGCAGCUUUUAAUUGAUCAAAAAAAUUAAAUUUGAGCCCUUUCACGCGCUUAUGGCACGUGUAUACACGCAGUGAUCCAAAAUAGUAUAUUUGCAACGGAAUAAAGAAGAAUGGAUAAUAGAUCGAAUUCAAAAUUUAGGUGUCUUUUUAAAAAUGUCGGCCAACAUCCGAAGAGUAAUUAUGUAUUUACUCAAAAAAUAAAAAUAAUUAUAUAUGUUGCUUGUCGUGUACAGAAUUUUGAUAGUCUUGGAUUACCCCUUACAUAUGUUGCUUGUCGUCACUUAUAAUGUUAUAUUUUAUCGAUCUUUAACUUAUCAGUGCAGUUGUUCCAAGGCUAGGCUUUUCUUAUGCUAAUUCUUCUCUUAUUAUAUUUACUAGAUUUACUAUUGCACUGAGCCCUAUUCUAUCUCGGGUAACCUGAUUACGGCUUUAUCUGAUAGAAUUUACUAUACUUGGGGGAGUAUGUGGUAUCUCUCCACCUUCUCCUUUAGCAACUGGAUUUCUAUCUCCAUGACAUCUCAUCAACCUUUGUCAAUUGUUGUAAUUCCAAGUAUCACACUUCAUCUCUUGCCACCACCUGGUUAUUUUAGGAAUUGACAUGAACUGGUUUAAUGAGGCUCAAGGUACCACCUGACUCGUCAGUCGCACCCCCUUAACAAAAAAAUCAAAUUAAAUAGGAGAAAAAAUUGAACGCCCACAAGUACCUGAAAUUCUUACAAUGCAUUGUAAAAUAAAACCCUUCAGGGUUCAAACUUUGGUUGUUUGAAGUAAGGUCUGAAAUCACUAAGAAAUUUCUACAGUAAAAACAAGCAUGUCCCUCAUUCUAUAGGGACCAACAUCAGUGGCAAAUUUUGCAAAACCUGAAAAAUAAUGAUACUAGCAACUAGGAAGAGGAAGCCAGGGUUCCUAGGAGCUACACCAGUACAGUAAAGAACACCUGCACAAAAACAAAAAUGGGUAAAAAUGUAAAAGAGUAUAUCAAACAAUAUACUCUUUAGGUUGACGGCGAGCAUUUUAAUUUCUUCCACCUCUGAAGGAGUAUUGCAACUUUGUGACAAUAUCUUCGAUCACCUUUCUAAAAGCUCAUCUUGCAAUUUGUGCACAGGUGGAAUCGUCUUUGUUUGACCAACUCUCGCUGAUUCUACAUGCCUGAAUUGAGCGAUCGAUCUGGAGACCUACAGUUCCUUCCUUCUCCAGGAGCGAGCAAUAGCUUCCGAAUGUCGGGACACUUACAUGAAGUUGAAAAUCCAGUCCAAACAAGAAUUUCAUCUCCAGCUUAUUCAACUCUUUUGUGGUUACACCACCUACUCUUGCAUAGUAUGCAUUGUUAUAAAAUC